UACGAGGGGGGCAAGCGUUGUUCGGAAUUAUUGGGCGUAAAGGGUGCGUAGGCGGUUUUGUAAGUCUUGUGUGAAAUCUUCAGGCUCAACUUGAAGACUGCACGAGAAACUGCAGGGCUUGAGUGUGGGAGAGGUGAGUGGAAUUCCUGGUGUAGCGGUGAAAUGCGUAGAUAUCAAGAGGAACACCUGAGGUGAAGACGGGUUGCUGGGCCGACACUGACGCUGAUGCGCGAAAGCCAGGGGAGCAAACGGG
Molecule: ribosomal RNA, 253 nt
Filed under: uncultured bacterium
Lineage: Bacteria
Description: partial 16S ribosomal RNA
Rfam family: Bacterial small subunit ribosomal RNA
Source: RNAcentral